Molecule: non-coding RNA, 414 nt
Organism: Rhinichthys klamathensis goyatoka
Lineage: Eukaryota; Metazoa; Chordata; Actinopteri; Cypriniformes; Leuciscidae
Source: the annotation of a RefSeq genome assembly
UCAAAACCUUAAAACAUAUUUAAACUAAGGUACAGUAUUAGCAUGGAGGCCUGUCUGCUAGUGAUUCUCAUGACAAUUUCAGGUGUGUUUGCUGCUGACAGCAUUGGACCAAAUGACAAGGAUACUAAUAUGAUCGGAAGAGAAGGAGAGUCUGUGACACUGAGAUGCACAUAUGAUACAAGCAGCAGUUAUGUCUAUCUUUACUGGUUCAGACAGUAUCCUAAUACAGAACCUCAGUAUUUACUGUGGCAAGGGGCUCGAUCAUACGGAGGAGAGGAUAAAACAGACGAACGGUUUCAGCCGACUACAUCCCAAACAUCCACUGAACUCAUUAUUAACAGUGUAACUCUGUCAGAUUCAGCUCUCUAUUAUUGUGCUCUAAGAGUAGCAGCCCAGUGAUACAAAAUGCCUGAG